UACUUCAUGAGGUGUGUGUUUGCAGGUGUGGUCAGUAUAAGACUACUUCAUGAGGUGUGUGUUUGCAGGUGUGGUCAGUAUAAGACUACUUCAUGAGGUGUGUGUUUGCA
Molecule: long non-coding RNA, 110 nt
Organism: Haliotis rubra (blacklip abalone)
Lineage: Eukaryota; Metazoa; Mollusca; Gastropoda; Lepetellida; Haliotidae
Exons: 3
Source: RefSeq, a predicted model, not a curated record